CAGCCGCCGCGGUAAUACGGAGGGCGCGAGCGUUGUCCGGAUUCACUGGGCGUAAAGCGGGUGUAGGCGGUCGGGUAAGUCGGACGUGAAAGCCCGGGGCUCAACCCCGGAAGGGCGUCCGAAACUGCUCGACUUGAGGGCGGGAGAGGGAGGUGGAAUUCCCGGUGUAGCGGUGAAAUGCGAAGAUAUCGGGAGGAACACCAGUGGCGAAGGCGGCCUCCUGGCCCGUUCCUGACGCUGAGACCCGAAAGCGGGGGGAGAAACCCGGAUAAGAUACCCGGGUAGUCCACGCCGUAAACGGUGGGCACUAGGUGUGGGGGGUUAAUCCCUCCGUGCCGAAGCUAACGCAUUAAGUGCCCCGCCUGGGGAGUACGGCCGCAAGGUUGAAACUUAAAGGAAUUGGCGGG
RNAcentral lists this ribosomal RNA (407 nucleotides) under uncultured microorganism. RNAcentral describes it as "bacterial SSU rRNA". It matches the Rfam family "Bacterial small subunit ribosomal RNA", at positions 509 to 917 of the family's 1533-position model. The record is from RNAcentral.